Molecule: ribosomal RNA, 446 nt
Filed under: uncultured bacterium
Lineage: Bacteria
Description: partial 16S ribosomal RNA
Rfam family: Bacterial small subunit ribosomal RNA
Source: RNAcentral
CCUACGGGAGGCAGCAGUCGAGAAUCAUUCACAAUGGGGGAAACCCUGAUGGUGCGACGCCGCGUGGGGGAAUGAAGGUCUUCGGAUUGUAAACCCCUUUCAUGUGGGAGCAAAUUAAAAAGAUAGUACCACAAGAGGAAUAGACGGCUAACUCUGUGCCAGCAGCCGCGGUAAUACAGAGGUCUCAAGCGUUGUUCGGAAUCACUGGGCGUAAAGGGUGCGUAGGCUGUUUCGUAAGUCGUGUGUGAAAGGCGCGGGCUCAACCCGCGGACGGCACAUGAUACUGCGAGACUAGAGUAAUGGAGGGGGAACCGGAAUUCUCGGUGUAGCAGUGAAAUGCGUAGAUAUCGAGAGGAACACUCGUGGCGAAGGCGGGUUCCUGGACAUUAACUGACGCUGAGGCACGAAGGCCAGGGGAGCGAAAGGGAUUAGAUACCCUAGUAGUC